CCGCUAGGUAUCGGUAACUUGCUACGUCUCAUCCGCUAGGUAGUGGUAACUUGCUACGUCUCGUCCGCUAGGUAGCGGUAACUUGCUACGUCUCGUCCGCUAGGUAGUGGUAACUUGCUAUGUCUCGUCCGCUAGGUAACGGUAACUUGCUACGUCUCGCCCUCUAGGUAGCGGUUAUCACUAGCUACAUCUCGACCGCUAGGUAUCGGUAACUUGCUACGUCUCGUCCGCUAGGUAACGGUAACUUGCUACGUCUCGCCCUCUAGGUAGCGGUUAUCACUAGCUACAUCUCAUCCGCUAGGUAUCGGUAACUUGCUACGUCUCGUCCGCUAGGUAGUGGUAACUUGCUAUGUCUCGUCCGCUAGGUAACGGUAACUUGCUACGUCUCGUCCGCUAGGUAGUGGUAACUUGCUACGUCUCGCCCUCUAGGUAGCGGUUAUCACUAGCUACAUCUCGACCGCUAGGUAUCGGUAACUUGCUACGUCUCGUCCGCUAGGUAGUGGUAACUUGCUACGUCUCUACCUCUAGGUAGCAGUAACUUGCUAUGUCUCGACCGCUAGGUAGCGGUAACUUGCUACGUCUCGACUGCUAGGUAGCGGUAACUUGCUACAUCUCGACUGCUAGGUAUCGGUAACUUGCUACAUCCCGACCGCUAGGUAACGGUAACUUGCUACGUCCUGACCACAAGGUAGCGGUUAUCACUAGCUACAUCUCGACCGCUAGGUAGUGGUAACUUGCUACGUCUCAACCGCUAGGCAGCGGUAACUUGCUACGUCUCGAACGCUAGGUAGAGGUUAUCACUAGCUACAUCUCAACUGCUAGGUAGCGGUAACUCCCUACAUCCCGACCGCUAGGUAGUGAUAACUCCCUACGUCUCGACUGC
This 883-nucleotide long non-coding RNA is filed under the name Salmo salar (Atlantic salmon). Its description in RNAcentral is "lncRNA (ENSSSAG00000092639.1)". Lineage: Eukaryota; Metazoa; Chordata; Actinopteri; Salmoniformes; Salmonidae. The record is from RNAcentral.